RNAcentral lists this small RNA (552 nucleotides) under Pan troglodytes (chimpanzee). RNAcentral describes it as "retained intron". The record is from RNAcentral. Lineage: Eukaryota; Metazoa; Chordata; Mammalia; Primates; Hominidae.
AGUGCGCAGAGGACGCGGCGGGAGCAUGUACCGGCUCCUGAGCUGGAGCCUGGGCCGAGGCUUCCUGCGGGCCGCGGGGCGGCGGUGCCGGGGCUGCUCCGCGCGCCUGCUCCCGGGGCUGGCAGGAGGUCCGGGGCCCGAGGUGCAGGUGCCGCCAUCCCGAGUCGCGCCGCACGGCCGGGGCCCAGGCCUGCUGCCGCUGCUGGCAGCGCUCGCCUGGUUCUCGAGGCCCGCUGCGGCAGAGGAGGAGGAGCAGCAGGGAGCCGACGGGGCCGCUGCCGAGGACGGGGCGGACGAGGCCGAGGCAGAGAUCAUCCAGCUGCUGAAGCGAGCCAAGGUGAGGCGGCUCCGGGCCCUGCGCCCGGCCGAGCGCGGUAGCCUUUGUGAGCGGGGUCUUGGCGUUGCUGCGCAUUACUCUCUCCGCCUCGCCGAAGAGUGGAUGGAGGCUCCGCGGGUAAAAUUGCCGAGAAUGAGGUGGGUCAUCCGAGAGGGGAUUGGAAUCCAUCCAGGCUUUUCCGACUCUAAGGCCUGCAGUAAAACCUCUGCAGUGUC